Molecule: ribosomal RNA, 684 nt
Filed under: Triticum aestivum (bread wheat)
Lineage: Eukaryota; Viridiplantae; Streptophyta; Magnoliopsida; Poales; Poaceae
Description: partial small subunit ribosomal RNA
Source: RNAcentral
AUGCAUGCGGCGACGUCGGCCGGCAGCAUGGCCUCGAUCGAGCUCGGGCGCGGCGGCGCUGGUGGCAGCGGGAACGGCAUCGGCAGGCCCGCCGGGACGACGUCCAAGAAGCGGCUCGUGAUGAUCAUCGCCGACCCGGGCCGCGAGUCCACGGCGGCGAUGGACUGGGCACUCUCCCACGCCGUCGUCGAGGGUGACGACAUCCUGCUUCUCCACGUCAACAUGCCGCCGAGCGGCGCCCCCGGCGGCGCGGCCCCUCCGCGAACCGGCUCCGUCGGCAGCAGCAGCGGCUCCCAGCUGGCCGUGUUCCUCGGUGGCGGGGGCUCCGCGGACGGGGAGUUCAUGGAGACGAUGCGCGCCGCGUGCAAGGCGCGGCACCCGCGCGCUAGGGUCCACGCGGAGCGCGUCGAGCCGGCAACCGAGGGCCGCGAGGCCAAGGCCCAGACCAUCCUCGCCGAGUCCCAACGCCGCGGCGUCGAGCUCCUCGUCAUCGGUCACCACCGCUUCUCCGCCUUCCUCAGGUUGCGGAGCGCGAGCGGGACGAGCCGGCCGAGACACGACAGCACGGCGGAGUUCUUGAUCGAGCACAGCAAGUGCUUGUGCGUGAGCGUUCAGAAGAAGGGCAAGAACGCCGGCUACCUGCUCAACACAAAGACCCACAAGAACUUCUGGCAACUCGCAUGA